Molecule: ribosomal RNA, 507 nt
Filed under: uncultured bacterium
Lineage: Bacteria
Description: bacterial SSU rRNA
Rfam family: Bacterial small subunit ribosomal RNA
Source: RNAcentral
AGUGAACGCUGGCGGCAGGCCUAAUACAUGCAAGUCGAACGGCAGCACAGCAGAGCUUGCUCUGUGGGUGGCGAGUGGCGGACGGGUGAGGAAUACAUGGGAAUCUGCCCAGUCGUGGGGGAUAACGUAGGGAAACUUACGCUAAUACCGCAUGCGCCCUUCGGGGAAAGCCGGGGACCUUCGGGCCUGGCGCGAUUGGAUGAGCCCAUGUCGGAUUAGCUAGUUGGCGGGGUAAUGGCCCACCAAGGCGACGAUCCGUAGCUGGUCUGAGAGGAUGAUCAGCCACACUGGAACUGAGACACGGUCCAGACUCCUACGGGAGGCAGCAGUAGGGAAUAUUGGGACAAUGGGCGCAAGCCUGAUCCAGCCAUGCCGCGUGAGUGAAGAAGGCCCUCGGGUUGUAAAGCUCUUUUGUCCGGAAAGAAAAGCGCCGGGUUAAUACCCUAGUGUCCUGACGGUACCGGAAGAAUAAGCACCGGCUAACUUCGUGCCAGCAGCCGCGGUAAU